Molecule: ribosomal RNA, 253 nt
Filed under: uncultured bacterium
Lineage: Bacteria
Description: partial 16S ribosomal RNA
Rfam family: Bacterial small subunit ribosomal RNA
Source: RNAcentral
UACGUAGGGGGCAAGCGUUGUCCGGAAUUAUUGGGCGUAAAGGGCUCGUAGGCGGUUUGUCGCGUCGGGAGUGAAAACACUGGGCUUAACUCAGUGCUGGCUUCCGAUACGGGCAGACUAGAGGUAUGCAGGGGAGAACGGAAUUCCUGGUGUAGCGGUGGAAUGCGUAGAGCUCCGGAAGAACACCGGUGGCGAAGGCGGCCCACUGGUCCGGUACUGACGCUGAGGUGCGAAAGCGUGGGGAGCAAACAGG